GACGAACGCUGGCGGCGUGCUUAACACAUGCAAGUCGAACGGAAAGGCCCUGCUUUUGUGGGGUGCUCGAGUGGCGAACGGGUGAGUAACACGUGAGUAACCUGCCCUUGACUUUGGGAUAACUUCAGGAAACUGGGGCUAAUACCGGAUAGGAGCUCCUGCUGCAUGGUGGGGGUUGGAAAGUUUCGGCGGUUGGGGAUGGACUCGCGGCUUAUCAGCUUGUUGGUGGGGUAGUGGCUUACCAAGGCUUUGACGGGUAGCCGGCCUGAGAGGGCGACCGGCCACAUUGGGACUGAGAUACGGCCCAGACUCCUACGGGAGGCAGCAGUGGGGAAUAUUGCACAAUGGGCGGAAGCCUGAUGCAGCAACGCCGCGUGCGGGAUGACGGCCUUCGGGUUGUAAACCGCUUUCGCCUGUGACGAAGCGUGAGUGACGGUAAUGGGUAAAGAAGCACCGGCUAACUACGUGCCAGCAGCCGCGGUGAUACGUAGGGUGCGAGCGUUGUCCGGAUUUAUUGGGCGUAAAGGGCUCGUAGGUGGUUGAUCGCGUCGGAAGUGUAAUCUUGGGGCUUAACCCUGAGCGUGCUUUCGAUACGGGUUGACUUGAGGAAGGUAGGGGAGAAUGGAAUUCCUGGUGGAGCGGUGGAAUGCGCAGAUAUCAGGAGGAACACCAGUGGCGAAGGCGGUUCUCUGGGCCUUUCCUGACGCUGAGGAGCGAAAGCGUGGGGAGCGAACAGGCUUAGAUACCCUGGUAGUCCACGCUGUAAACGGUGGGUACUAGGUGUGGGGUCCAUUCCACGGGUUCCGUGCCGUAGCUAACGCUUUAAGUACCCCGCCUGGGGAGUACGGCCGCAAGGCUAAAACUCAAAGGAAUUGACGGGGCCCCGCACAAGCGGCGGAGCAUGCGGAUUAAUUCGAUGCAACGCGUAGAACCUUACCUGGGUUUGACAUGGAUCGGGAGUGCUCAGAGAUGGGUGUGCCUCUUUUGGGGUCGGUUCACAGGUGGUGCAUGGCUGUCGUCAGCUCGUGUCGUGAGAUGUUGGGUUAAGUCCCGCAACGAGCGCAACCCUUGUUCACUGUUGCCAGCACGUUAUGGUGGGGACUCAGUGGAGACCGCCGGGGUCAACUCGGAGGAAGGUGGGGAUGACGUCAAGUCAUCAUGCCCCUUAUGUCCAGGGCUUCACGCAUGCUACAAUGGCUGGUACAGAGAGUGGCGAGCCUGUGAGGGUGAGCGAAUCUCGGAAAGCCGGUCUCAGUUCGGAUUGGGGUCUGCAACUCGACCUCAUGAAGUCGGAGUCGCUAGUAAUCGCAGAUCAGCAACGCUGCGGUGAAUACGUUCCCGGGGCU
Molecule: ribosomal RNA, 1346 nt
Filed under: uncultured bacterium
Lineage: Bacteria
Description: partial 16S ribosomal RNA
Rfam family: Bacterial small subunit ribosomal RNA
Source: RNAcentral